UUGUUCUUGCAUUAUUGUUCUUGUCUUUACUUUAUUUCAUAACAAACUAUUUUUAAAUUACCACUUAUAAAUCUGGGUAUUUUUGAAUUUCUCCAUUUUGUGGCUACAAUAGCAAGACGCAAUUCAAAGUUCAAACUAAAAAGGAAUAUUAAGGUCGGAAAGCCAAUUCUCUGUAUUUUCAAUUUCAACAAGGGGUUUUAGCUGGGGUUAUGCAGAAACUACACUACUGAACCCUGGACCGAAUCCGGACCCCAUUGAAUCUUCAAAUGGUGCUCCGACUUGCCCACCGGCUCAGCCACCGCUCUCUUUCCUCCCUUCUAAUCCACGAUUCUUUCUCUGUAAGUUGUUCCGCAAAAGAGUUACCAUAAACAAAGAUUUUUAUUAGCAUAUUUAGAUGCAUAAAUUUGAUACGUUAUUUUGAAGAAUUUUUGUUGUAAUUACAGACUUGUGAUGCAUUUCUGAAAGUGGGUUUUAGGAGUUAUUGCACGGCGACCUGGAAUCCAAUUAGGAAUUUGUUUCCCUUGAAUUCUAUCAAGGGUACGUUUUAUUAGCCUUAUUUGUAUCUUUUUUUUUUGUUAUUUAUUUAUUUAUUGUUGUUAAUUUCAGCAAAUUUGUGGCCUUUUAUUUUCGGGUUAGGUUUUGUCACCGUGAAACUUCGUUUGAAUUUGAACAGCAUCUUUGCGCUCUAGGGUAGGGGUUAGGCUGCGUACAUGACACCCU
Molecule: long non-coding RNA, 720 nt
Filed under: Nicotiana benthamiana
Lineage: Eukaryota; Viridiplantae; Streptophyta; Magnoliopsida; Solanales; Solanaceae
Description: long non-coding RNA (NBEN_LNC002865)
Source: RNAcentral